GAUGAACGCUGGCGGCGUGCCUAACACAUGCAAGUCGAGCGAACAGACGCGGAGCUUGCUCCUCUGACGUUAGCGGCGGACGGGUGAGUAACACGUGGAUCACCUACCUAUCAGACUGGGAUCACUUCGGGAAACCGGAGCUAAUACCGGAUAAUCUCUUGCACCGCAUUGUUCAAUAGUGAAAGACGGUUUUGCUGUCACUUAUAGAUGGAUACGGGCCGCAUUAGCUAGUUGGUAAGGUAACGGCUUUCCAAGGCGACGAUGCGUAGCCGACCGCAGAGAGUGAUAGGCCGCACGGGAACUGAGACGGGGUCCAGACGCCUACGGGAGGCAGCAGUAGGGAAUCGUACGCAGUGGGCGAAAGCCUGACGGAGCAACGCCGCGUGAGUGAUGAAGGUCUUCGGAUCGUAAAACUCUGUUAUUAGGGAAGAACAGAUGUGGAAGUAACUAUGCACGUCGUGACGGUACCGAGUCAGAAAGCCACGGCUAACUACGUG
RNAcentral lists this ribosomal RNA (497 nucleotides) under uncultured bacterium. RNAcentral's name for it is "partial 16S ribosomal RNA". It matches the Rfam family "Bacterial small subunit ribosomal RNA", at positions 28 to 507 of the family's 1533-position model. The record is from RNAcentral.